RNAcentral lists this ribosomal RNA (453 nucleotides) under uncultured bacterium. RNAcentral's name for it is "bacterial SSU rRNA". It matches the Rfam family "Bacterial small subunit ribosomal RNA", at positions 8 to 507 of the family's 1533-position model. The record is from RNAcentral.
AGAGUUUGAUCAUGGCUCAGAACGAACGCUGGCGGCAUGCCUAACACAUGCAAGUCGAACGAAGCCUUCGGGCUUAGUGGCGCACGGGUGCGUAACGCGUGGGAAUCUGCCCUUGGGUUCGGAAUAACAGUUAGAAAUGACUGCUAAUACCGGAUAAUGUCUUCGGACCAAAGAUUUAUCGCCCAGGGAUGAGCCCGCGUAGGAUUAGCUAGUUGGUGAGGUAAAGGCUCACCAAGGCGACGAUCCUUAGCUGGUCUGAGAGGAUGAUCAGCCACACCGGGACUGAGACACGGCCCAGACUCCUACGGGAGGCAGCAGUGGGGAAUAUUGGACAAUGGGCGAAAGCCUGAUCCAGCAAUGCCGCGUGAGUGAUGAAGGCCUUAGGGUUGUAAAGCUCUUUUACCCGGGAUGAUAAUGACAGUACCGGGAGAAUAAGCCCCGGCUAACUCCGUG